GACUACAGGAGGUAACGACUACUUUAGUUUCCACAACUAUCUGGCAGAGCACCCAUAAAACAGAGUACACCAGACAACAGAACAGUCGUGAAUAAUACAACAGUUGCAAGAAAACUAGACAUUUUAUUGCUCACUUAUAUAAAUUGUAUCCAUCGGUGUGUUGACCUUUGCAACAUGGAAUCGAAAUACUGUUUUAUUGUUUUAAUUUUCUUUGGAUUAAGUCACGGGGUAAGCCAGGCAUCUGAAUGUACCGCUCGAGGAAGGUUCGUGAACGACGAAAAUGACGACUGUCGAGGCUACACAAUGUGUCUCAUGGGCGGUCUCACAAACUUCACACAAUACAAGCUUGUGUGCCCUAUGGGAUCUUUAUACAGUCACAUGGAACAACAAUGUACCAAUUCAACUAACUACAAAUGUUAUUCAAACUUCAAUUGUAGUAGUGUUGGAGUUGGAAUGUUUCCCGUGCCAGGAAGUACGGAUUGCUCAUCUUUUGUAGCUUGCGUGAAUGGAUUAACUGGCCUAGGCACUGCUAGACUUGUUGGAUGCCCAACAGAUAUGCUGUUUAACCCGCUUGCAGGACGAUGUGUUAAUAAUACUGACUUUUCUUGCAUAAAUAUACCUCUAAACGUAGAAAUGAAUGGAGCCUCCGUAGUAAAUAUCACGCAAUUUUCUUUGCUGUUGUUGAUGUAUUUGAUCAGUUGUUUACUUUUAUUGUAAUUUUAAUAAAAAAAUAAUGAAUGCA
This is a long non-coding RNA of Helicoverpa zea (corn earworm), 742 nucleotides long. RefSeq lists it as uncharacterized. NCBI's taxonomy places the organism in Eukaryota, Metazoa, Arthropoda, Insecta, Lepidoptera, Noctuidae. The record is from RefSeq and is a predicted model, not a curated record. The transcript has 2 exons.